Molecule: ribosomal RNA, 497 nt
Filed under: uncultured bacterium
Lineage: Bacteria
Description: partial 16S ribosomal RNA
Rfam family: Bacterial small subunit ribosomal RNA
Source: RNAcentral
GAUGAACGCUGGCGGCGUGCCUAAUACAUGCAAGUCGAGCGAACAGACGAGGAGCUUGCUCCUCUGACGUUAGCGGCGGACGGGUGAGUAACACGUGGAUAACCUACCUAUAAGACUGGGAUAACUUCGGGAAACCGGAGCUAAUACCGGAUAAUAUAUUGAACCGCAUGGUUCAAUAGUGAAAGACGGUUUUGCUGUCACUUAUAGAUGGAUCCGCGCCGCAUUAGCUAGUUGGUAAGGUAACGGCUUACCAAGGCAACGAUGCGUAGCCGACCUGAGAGGGUGAUCGGCCCAACUGGAACUUAGACACGGUCCAGACUCCUACGGGAGGCAGCAGUAGGGAAUCUUCCGCAAUGGGCGAAAGCCUGACGGAGCAACGCCGCGUGAGUGAUGAAGGUCUUCGGAUCGUAAAACUCUGUUAUUAGGGAAGAACAAAUGUGUAAGUAACUAUGCACGUCUUGACGGUACCUAAUCAGAAAGCCACGGCUAACUACGUG